This is a long non-coding RNA of Phragmites australis (common reed), 592 nucleotides long. RefSeq lists it as uncharacterized. Lineage: Eukaryota; Viridiplantae; Streptophyta; Magnoliopsida; Poales; Poaceae. The record is from RefSeq and is a predicted model, not a curated record. The transcript is spliced from 3 exons.
CCCUCGGUCACGCCAAGGUCUCUGGCGUGACUCGAGUCACGCUAGGCCCUUUGGCAUGACCGAGGGCUAUACAGAACGGGGCGCCGACCCCUUCUCCCGCACGCAAGUCACUUCUUCCUCAGGAAGCGGAGGCAGAACACAAAACCCCCGUGGCGCCCUCUCUCUGCAUUCCAACCGAUUUGGUGGCCCAAUAGGAAGGGAUUUGAGCGGGAAGAGGUGAAGGAAGGUUAUCGGUAUGACGUCGAACUUAUGGCGCAAGCAAAAGUGGGCACAUAUCGGUAAGAAGUAUCCCGAUGUGAGUUGCAAAGAUGCUCCGGUUCCCCCCUCCCUCCCUGUCCCGACUUGUGACUGUGGUAAGCGAGCCGUGGUUCUUCAGUCGCUGCACGAAGAUACUGCCGGUCGGGCUUACUACCUGUGCUCAGAUUAUCGUGAGUGGGAGAUGUGCUAUUUCUUCCAAUGGAUAGAUGGGCCCGAUAUGUAUGAUAAGAGGAUUCUGCAGGUGAAACGGUUUAGUCAGUAUCCGAAGCCAUUUGAGAAGUUUGUUCGUUGGGUCCCCCCACCACCAAAUCCCCCAAAAUUAACGGAUAAAGAG